Long non-coding RNA from Gadus morhua (Atlantic cod), 357 nucleotides. RefSeq lists it as uncharacterized. The transcript is spliced from 3 exons. The record is from RefSeq and is a predicted model, not a curated record. NCBI's taxonomy places the organism in Eukaryota, Metazoa, Chordata, Actinopteri, Gadiformes, Gadidae.
UUUUCUGUUUAGAUGUAUGCGGUAGUUCAUUUUACCGAGUCAAACGAGGUGGAGGUUGUGCCUUGCUCGUGGCUAAGUUUGGACGGCAAGGUGUCUUUUUGGCCACCGUAUAAAGACACCAAGCGGACGAAAAUUGCAGUCAUCCAAAGCGCUAUGCCAGAUGAGACCUGGGGAGAGUUUUUUGUGGAGGUGGUGAAAACCUUUGCCAAUUAUGAUGCAGCGCGUAUGAACCUGAAAAAAGCCCAAACCAGGAGCACCCUGACAUCAGAUGAUGAAGGGGGUAAAAGAAGGAGAAUCCCUUCCUCAAAGCUGAAAGAAACUGUGCCUGCAGAUGAGGGGGAGAAGCAUACAAGGUCU